RNAcentral lists this long non-coding RNA (3326 nucleotides) under Sus scrofa (pig). Its description in RNAcentral is "lncRNA (ENSSSCG00000062425.1)". Lineage: Eukaryota; Metazoa; Chordata; Mammalia; Artiodactyla; Suidae. The record is from RNAcentral.
UUUUUUUUUUUUUUUUUUUUUUUUUUUUUUGUCUUUUGUCUUUUGAGGCCUGCACCUGCAGCAUAUGGAGGUUCCCAGGCUAGCGGUCUAAUCAAAGCUCUUGCUGCUGGCCUCUGCCACAGCCACAGUAACACCAGACCUGAGCUGCGUCUGCGACCUACACCACAGCUCAUGGCAACACCGGAUCCUUAAUCCACUGAGCGAGGCCAGGGAUCAAACCCGCAACCUCAUGGUUCCUUGUCGGAUUCGUUUCCACUGCACCACUAUGGGAACUCCGUCUUUUCUUAAACUCUUAGAAUAUCAAAUUAGUGACUGCUUCUAUCAAAUUGAAGCAGUCACUAAUUUAAUUAAAUAACCAAACUACUUGAUCAAGCUACAAUUUACAUGCCAUUAAAUUCACCCAAUUAAGGCAUGCAAUUCAUGAUUUUUCAUAAAUUUACCAAGUUGUGUAAUCAUCCCCAUCAUCUAGUCACAGAACAUUCCCAUCGCUCCAGUAAGGUCCCAUACUCCCAUUUUCAGUUAAUCCCCAUUCCAAGCCUCGGCCCCAGGCAAAUACUGUUUUACCUUCUGUCUCUAUUGGUUUACCUUUGCAGAACCUUUCAUAUAAAUGGAAUCAUACAUUAUAGGGUUUUUUGGCGUGGCUUCUCUCACUUGGGAUAUCGUAGCUUGUAUUAGUAUUUUAUUCCUGUUUAGUUUGCUGAAUAGCGUUCAGCUGUAUGGCUGUACCAGAUUUUAUUGACCAGUCAUCUUAUCUAUUGACUUUUAAAUCCUCUGUUAAUUUUUUUUCUCCCUCCUAACUUGCUCUCUCCCAAUAAAGAGUCCUAUAGACUGCACUGUCAGACAUAUUCCAGAAUCCCAUCUCUGGCCAUGCCCAAUGGUUAUUUUUCUAGGAGAAUCUGAUUGAAGUCUUUAAAACACUGUUAGCUCUUCAGGUUGUCUCUGUGUAGAUGGGGAGCAGGUGUGGGGGGUGGACAGAAAAUUCUCACCCACUUUUCAUUUUGGAUUUGGAAGUUGAGAAAGAGUCUAAUUCUAUUAGUAUAUUUACAUUUUAAACAGAGGGAUACACUCUGAUGUCUGGGAAAGGGGCAUAAAUUAGAGUCAUCAGAACAUACUACCCACAUGAAUGCGUAUGCUCAGUUGGUUACCUUUCAGUGACUGCUGUGCCCAUUAUCAGCCAUAUUUUGGUUUUGUGGUAUGUGGCAUGCACUCAAGAUUUAAGGUGUUAGAGACAUUUCCUUCUUUCAGUGUAAAUCAGGGUGACCCAACGUCUCUGAAAGGUAAAUACUAACCCUCUCUCUCAUUUGAAAGAGUUAUUGAGCCAUGUUUACAGUGGGUCCCCUUUGUCUGCAGUGCACAUACUUCACAUUUUCUUAAAGGGAAUGGGCUACCUGCCAAUGACAUUUCACAGUUCUCAAGCUGCACGGUUUCUUCAGGAAUAUAAUUCCUCAUCUGCUUUGCCUUUUCCCUUUGAGUUUUGCGUUUCAUCCUUGCUCUGUGCAAUACACCAAUCAACACAAAUUCAGGCAACUCCUCAUUUCUCCUUCCUUUGAUGACCUUGAAGCUCUUCAUCUGGCCAGUCGAUCACGCCCAGAGGAAUGCAGUGGGACGUGCCUCUGCAGUGGUGCAGGGAAGCCCAGCCUGCCUCUGUAUUGUAUAAUUUCUCCCUUCUCUUUGUGAUAUCCCUGUUGCUAUUCCUUUCCCACCUUAAAACAAAAUGAAACAAAACAAGACAAAGCAAAAACCCAAGGAUACGAAUAACUUGAAAUGAACUAAAUUUGUCAUUGUUUUGACAGGAAAACUUCAUACAGAUACAAGCAAUAAUCUGCUCAUACACAUUACAAUCUCUUACACAAUAACUUCUCUUUCAUCAUUCUUCUCUGCUUGGCUACCUUCUCAUCCCCACCCUAUUUUGUACCCAUGAAAAGAAGCCAAGAGAGCUUCCCUUUGUUUUGCUUUUGUUUUUAUUUUCUGGGCUUCCAUCUGGGUCCCAGCCUAGGGCAACCAGCUGGAGGGCACAUUUGCUGGUAACUGCUGUAGAGGGAGCUCUGGUGUUUUAUAUGUGCAGCUUGUGGCUUUCUCACAGCAUUCCACGGUGAGUGAUUCUGUAAAAAGCAAAUUGGCUUUCCUCUGAGGCAUCAAAAUGGUACUAGGAAACUCUUAUCAAAGUUUAGGGAGAUGUUACAGCAGAUGGAUUGGCAUCCUUUAUUGAAAAGGUAUUAGAUGAAGCACCAGCCACUAGAACCCUACAAUCAAAAUACUGAGUUAAACCUUCCUUACAGGCAACCUGGAGAUAUUGAACAUACUGUGUAUCUUCUGUGGGAAUCACUUAUUUUCAGGGAUAAUUACACCUUCCAUAUUUUCCUACACCUUUUAUUUCAGAGGUGUCAAAAAUUCCCACGUCAAAACUUUAUUAAGAAUGAGCCUAUGCUAUUAAAGUUAUUUUGGACAAAAAUAUUUACAAGUACAAAUAUGAAUGAACACUUUACCUGGAUAUUUUGAAUUUGCAAAAGAACUCUGAUGCUUUGCCAUGGGAGCCUUUCUUAUGGGACCCUGAUUCAUGAUGGGAACAGACAAAGAAUUGGAGCAUUUUACAGUACUCUAAUGGACAUUUUAAUAUUUCUCAUCUGUUCUUAAUUUGAAAUAGACAUAAUCUCUUCUGGGCUAGAAGUUACUUUUAGUAUUAUUUUUAGUUGUUAGUAAAAUCUUCUCAAUGCUUUGGCUCCCAACUAGAACUAAGAAAUAUUUAGCAAAAGCUAAAGAGUCAGCUGAAUAAUGAAGUCAGGUCAAUUCAGUUCAGCCUUUUUUAUGUCUCUGCUGCAGGCGAGGCACUGAGUUGAGUAUCAUGGAGGAUGGAAGGAUAAGGAGGGAAGAGCUGUUAUCUCAGCAAGCUCAGAGGCUAGCUAGGAAACUAAUCACAGCACUCCAAUCCAGCGUGUGAAGAAAGUACAAAUAAAAGUGUUUGUCUGGGUUCAGUUUAUAGUGACUUAGGAAACAUAAAACAAAGAAGUUUUAAAAACAUACACUUAGAAAUGAAAAUUUCUCUAAGAUCAAUGACAAGUCUUUUUAUAUAAGUCACAAGGCAGCAAUAUUUCAUUGUCUGUGCCUCACCCACAGCGGGCACUUGGGUUACUUUUUUAGGACAAGCAACAGAUUAUGAGAGCCAGACAGAAAGACUGUGAUUUACUUUACUUCUCUCCCAAACAUCAGUGCAAAAUCCAUGUGGAUGUCUGAAUGUUUAAAAAAUUUUAGACUGUUUUUGUGGUUUGGGGUUGAAUUAUUGUGCAUGAUUGUCCUAAGACAAAAAAUUGAAAUGCUUUGAUGAAAGG